GUGUCAGCAGCCGCGGUAAUACGUAGGUGGCAAGCGUUGUCCGGAAUUAUUGGGCGUAAAGGGCGCGUAGGCGGUCCUUUAAGUCAGAUGUGAAAUCCCGAGGCUCAACUUCGGGCGUGCAUUUGAAACUGGAGGACUAGAGUGCAGGAGAGGUAAGUGGAAUUCCUAGUGUAGCGGUGAAAUGCGUAGAUAUUAGGAGGAACACCAGUGGCGAAGGCGACUUACUGGACUGUAACUGACGCUGAGGCGCGAAAGCGUGGGGAGCAAACAGGAUUAGAUACCCUGGUAGUCCACGCUGUAAACGAUGGAUACUAGGUGUGGGAGGUAUCGACCCCUUCCGUGCCGCAGUAAACGCAAUAAGUAUCCCGCCUGGGGAGUACGGCCGCAAGGUUGAA
RNAcentral lists this ribosomal RNA (395 nucleotides) under uncultured bacterium. RNAcentral's name for it is "bacterial SSU rRNA". It matches the Rfam family "Bacterial small subunit ribosomal RNA", at positions 505 to 898 of the family's 1533-position model. The record is from RNAcentral.